AGCUCUAACUAGCUGUUACAUAUACAUGUAUAUUAUCAAACAACUCUACGUUUGCUGCAGUCAUUUCCCCUUGUUUUUUCGUUUAGCUAUUAAGAAUCGAUCUCCAACAGCAUUUUGAUGAAAAUUUCUCUCUUAACACAUGCAAUAGCAAAUAGCCGCUGGAGAUAUACUGGUGAUAUCCUGAACAAGUUGUGGAGAUGGGAAACGAAUAGACCCUGGGUGAGUUUUUCUGGAGAUACCGAAACUUUAACAGAUGUAGAAUCUAGCUGAUCAAUGGAAUUUUGGGAAGAUGCACUUUUAAAACUGAUGGACUGUCACAAAUAGUGUGACUGGAUUUCAAAGCAGUCGAUCUACGGAAUCUGGUCCAUGAAUUGACCACCACUCAUCACCAUUAUUUUCCUGCAAUUUUGGGGCGACUUUCUGUUAAUAUGGAGAUUUUCCUGCACUCCAUUGAUAGCAGGUAAGCGAAAUUCCUAAUAAAACACACAUUCACAUUCAG
Long non-coding RNA from Ostrea edulis (European flat oyster), 499 nucleotides. RefSeq lists it as uncharacterized. The transcript is spliced from 3 exons. The record is from RefSeq and is a predicted model, not a curated record. Lineage: Eukaryota; Metazoa; Mollusca; Bivalvia; Ostreida; Ostreidae.